AGUGAACGCUGGCGGUAGGCCUAACACAUGCAAGUCGAACGGCAGCACAGUAAGAGCUUGCUCUUACGGGUGGCGAGUGGCGGACGGGUGAGGAAUACAUCGGAAUCUACUUUUUCGUGGGGGAUAACGUAGGGAAACUUACGCUAAUACCGCAUACGACCUACGGGUGUAAGCACGGGAUCUUCGGACCUUGCGCGAUUGGAUGAGCCGAUGUCGGAUUAGCUAGUUGGCGGGGUAAAGGCCCACCAAGGCGACGAUCCGUAACUGGUCUGAGAGUAAGAUCAGCUACAGUGGAAGUGAGUAACGGCCAAGACGCCUACAGUAUGAAGCAGGGCGGAAUAUUGGAGACUGGGCGAAAGGCUGUAGCAGCCCUGCGGCGUAGGUGAAGAAGGCCUCCGGCUUGUAAAGCCCUCUUGUUGUGAAAGAAAAGCAGCAGGUUGCUGCCUCGCUGUUCUGACGGUCCCGAAAGAAUAAGCACCGGCUAACUUCGU
Molecule: ribosomal RNA, 491 nt
Filed under: uncultured bacterium
Lineage: Bacteria
Description: partial 16S ribosomal RNA
Rfam family: Bacterial small subunit ribosomal RNA
Source: RNAcentral